CGGGGUGCACCAGGCGCGAAAACUUUACAAUGCUGGCAACAGCGAUAAGGGGACCUUGAGUGCCAGGAUACAAUCCUGGCUGUCGUGAUGCCUAAAAAGCAUUAUAUAGCAAGGGCCGGGCAAGACCGGUGCCAGCCGCCGCGGUAACACCGGCGGCUCGAGUGGUAACCGCUAUUAUUGGGUCUAAAGGGUCUGUAGCCGGCUUGGUUAGUCUCUUGGGAAAUCCGGCAGCUUAACUGUCGGGCUUUCAGGAGAUACUGCCAGGCUCGAGACCGGGAGAGGUGAGAGGUACUUCAUGGGUAGGGGUGAAAUCUUGUAAUCCUUGAAGGACCACCAGUGGCGAAGGCGUCUCACCAGAACGGAUCUGACGGCAAGGGACGAAAGCUAGGGGCACGAACCGGAUUAGAUACCCGGGUAGUCCUAGCCGUAAACGAUACUCGCUAGGUGUCGGCCACGGUGCGACCGUGGUCGGUGCCGUAGGGAAGCCGUGAAGCGAGCCACCUGGGAAGUACGGCCGCAAGGCUGAAACUUAAAGGAAUUGGCGGGGGAGCACAAGGGCGAAUCGC
This 566-nucleotide ribosomal RNA is filed under the name uncultured archaeon. Its description in RNAcentral is "bacterial SSU rRNA". It matches the Rfam family "Archaeal small subunit ribosomal RNA", at positions 326 to 896 of the family's 1478-position model. The record is from RNAcentral.